Molecule: unclassified non-coding RNA, 341 nt
Filed under: uncultured fungus
Lineage: Eukaryota; Fungi
Description: partial contains 5.8S ribosomal RNA and internal transcribed spacer 2
Rfam family: 5.8S ribosomal RNA (bases 1-133)
Source: RNAcentral
UGGUUCUGGCAUCGAUGAAGAACGCAGCGAAAUGCGAUAAGUAAUGUGAAUUGCAGAAUUCAGUGAAUCAUCGAAUCUUUGAACGCACAUUGCGCCUAUUAGUAUUCUAGUAGGCAUGCCUGUUCGAGCGUCAUAUAAUCCACUUAAGCCCCGGCUUAGUGUUGGGAAUCUACUCUAGCGGUGCUACCCGUAGCUACCCUGUAGUUCCUCAAAGACAGCGGCGGGAUCAUGGUGUCCUCUAGGCUUAGUAACUCAACUAGCUUUGGAGGAGGCCUCGAUCUCUGCCGUAAAACCCCCAUCUUUUUAUGGUUGACCUCGGAUCAGGUAGGAAUACCCGCUGA